Molecule: transfer RNA, 74 nt
Rfam family: tRNA
About the family: Transfer RNA (tRNA) molecules are approximately 80 nucleotides in length. Their secondary structure includes four short double-helical elements and three loops (D, anti-codon, and T loops).
GCCCCGGUGGCGUAGCUGGUUAGCGCGGCCGCCUCGUAAGCGGCAGGGCGAGGGUUCGAAUCCCUCCCGGGGCU